GGGCAAACUUAGAAUGGACAUUGCAACCCAAUCAGUAACUGAAUCAACGGAAAGUUCACCGUCAUACCUAGACAUGCACCUUAAACUUCUACAACCUGGGGGGAAAGCCACAAGUGCUGGAAUUCCAUGUCUAAAAUAUGGUAGUCCACCAGGUCUCUUCUCAGCUAGAUAUGUGGCAAGUUGAACAUCAGCAACAUCAAUAACUCCAGUAUCUGCGACCCCAUCUAGCAAAGUAACAAUUCUUUUCCAUUUGUUUGAAAAUUGAGCACAUCGUGCACUCCCCGGAGAAAAAAUCUGAAUUAGCAAUGCCUUAUCAGUUCCAAGCUUGGAUAGAAAAUUCUCGGAGUUGAUGACAUCAACAGCAUGGUCUUCAGGAUCAAUAGAAAUUGUCUCCAGGAGAGGAAAGGUGAUUUCUGAAAUACUUCUUCCAACGUACUGCUCUUUAGCCUUUUCAACAACAUGAAAUUGCUCAUCGAUGCUGUAUAGGUCAUAGUCUCUUUUCCAAAUCUUAUUUGUCAGCAACUCAAAAGCAUAUCGAGCCUUGAUAAAAUCAAUGGUAGAAGGAACUUCAACACCUGAACUCCACUUUGAAGAGAGCUUUUCAUAUGCCUGAUUGACUUCUUCAAUUGAACUAUGAGCUCUGACACCCAAUACAUCAUAAUGCGAACGAGGGAAGGCACGAGGAAUCACGAUUAGUUGAUAGAAGAGCGAAGUAGAGAAAAGUAUAAAAGGGAUAAAGUAGGCCUUGAGCGUCGACAGCAAAGAAGAAGCGGCCGCUGGUUUUGCCGAAACCCUAGAAACGGAGGAUGUCGCCAUGAUCGAUUCCCUGCUUUUUCGGGACAAUGUGAGAAUUUUCUUGGAGUGUGACUUAAAACUGUGGCCGGAAUCCGU
RNAcentral lists this unclassified non-coding RNA (891 nucleotides) under Hevea brasiliensis (rubber tree). Lineage: Eukaryota; Viridiplantae; Streptophyta; Magnoliopsida; Malpighiales; Euphorbiaceae. The record is from RNAcentral.